UACGAAGGGGGCUAGCGUUGCUCGGAAUCACUGGGCGUAAAGCGCACGUAGGCGGCUUGUUAAGUCAGGGGUGAAAUCCUGGAGCUCAACUCCAGAACUGCCUUUGAUACUGGCGAGCUUGAGUUCGGGAGAGGUGAGUGGAACUGCGAGUGUAGAGGUGAAAUUCGUAGAUAUUCGCAAGAACACCAGUGGCGAAGGCGGCUCUCUGGGACGGUACUGACGCUGAGACGCGAAAGCGUGGGGAGCGAACAGG
Molecule: ribosomal RNA, 253 nt
Filed under: uncultured bacterium
Lineage: Bacteria
Description: partial 16S ribosomal RNA
Rfam family: Bacterial small subunit ribosomal RNA
Source: RNAcentral